GAGCCCAGACCGCCAGCUAAGGUCCCCAAAUAUACACUAAGUGGAGAAGGAUGUGGGGGCACACAGACAGCCAGGAGGUUGGCUUAGAAGCAGCCAUCCUUAAAGAAAGCGUAAUAGCUCACUGGUCAAGUGAACCUGCGCCGAAAAUGUAACGGGGCUCAAGUGUAUUACCGAAGCUGCGGAUGGCACUCAGGACUGCGGUCCUGAGGUCGUGGUAGGCGAGCAUUCCAUGGGCGGCGAAAGUCCGACGGGAACGACGGAUGGAGCGCAUGGAAGAGCUUAUGCAGGCUUGAGUAGCGAUAAAACAGGUGAAAAACCUGUUCGCCGUAAGCCCCAAGGGUUCCUGGGUCAAGUUCAUCUUCCCAGGGUUAGUCGGUCCCUAAGGCGAGGCCGAAAGGCGUAGCUGAUGGGAAGCAGGUUAAUAUUCCUGCACCGCCUUGGACAGUUUCCCAUAGGGGGGACGGAGAAACGUAGCCGAGCCGGGUAAUGGAUACCGGUUCAAACCUGUAGGGGAGU
This 516-nucleotide ribosomal RNA is filed under the name uncultured bacterium. RNAcentral's name for it is "bacterial LSU rRNA". It matches the Rfam family "Bacterial large subunit ribosomal RNA", at positions 1023 to 1529 of the family's 2925-position model. The record is from RNAcentral.